AACGAACGCUGGCGGCAUGCCUAACACAUGCAAGUCGAACGAGACCUUCGGGUCUAGUGGCGCACGGGUGCGUAACGCGUGGGAACCUGCCCUUAGGUUCGGAAUAACUCCCCGAAAGGGGUGCUAAUACCGGAUAAUGUCUUCGGACCAAAGAUUUAUCGCCUUUGGAUGGGCCCGCGUUGGAUUAGCUAGUUGGUAGGGUAAAAGCCUACCAAGGCGACGAUCCAUAGCUGGUCUGAGAGGAUGAUCAGCCACACUGGGACUGAGACACGGCCCAGACUGCUACGGGAGGCAGCAGUGGGGAAUAUUGGACGAUGGGCGAAAGCCUGAUCAAGCAAUGCCGCGUGAGUGAUGAAGGGCUUAGGGUUGUAAAGCUCUUUUACCCGGGAUGAUAAUGACAGUACCGGGAGAAUAAGCUCCGGCUAACUCCGUG
RNAcentral lists this ribosomal RNA (433 nucleotides) under uncultured bacterium. Its description in RNAcentral is "partial 16S ribosomal RNA". It matches the Rfam family "Bacterial small subunit ribosomal RNA", at positions 29 to 507 of the family's 1533-position model. The record is from RNAcentral.